Melanotaenia boesemani (Boeseman's rainbowfish) is the source of this 3321-nucleotide RNA transcript. It is a transcript of the gene named proton myo-inositol cotransporter-like, with no coding region annotated. The record is from RefSeq and is a predicted model, not a curated record. NCBI's taxonomy places the organism in Eukaryota, Metazoa, Chordata, Actinopteri, Atheriniformes, Melanotaeniidae. The transcript is spliced from 12 exons.
GGCCUGCUGUGCAAGGACUACAGCUCGAAAAGGUUAACCUUAUUACAACUUGCACGGGUGUGUUCCUCCUCCUUCUCUUUCAGCAAUAUCAUAUGAUCCCACAGAGGCUUCCUGUUUUUUUAAACAGGACACGGUCUGUUGAAGAGCGUCAGGAAAAGGAUUUGUUAUUACAAGUAAGCCUCGACGAAUGCAGUCUGAAGCACGAUUUUAACCUUAUGGGCAGCAGGAGACAGAGAACUGUGGACGAUGGAGAGCGGAAUCUCAUUGGACCUCCAUCUAGGGUCUCCGGUGAGACCCUCCUGGACAAAGAUGUCAACACACCGGCUUUCGUCUACGUAUUGGCGUUUUUCGCUGCCUUGGGGGGAUUCCUGUUCGGGUAUGACACUGGGGUGGUUUCAGGGGCAAUGCUGCUCCUGAAGAAGGAGAUGAACCUGAAUGCCCUGUGGCAGGAGCUUCUGGUUUCCAGUACUGUCGGGGCUGCGGCUCUGUCUGCCCUGAUUGGAGGCUUCUUGAAUGGGUGGUUGGGGCGCAGGAUCUGUAUCCUUAUGGCCAGUUUCAUCUUCAGUGUUGGUGGGAUUAUACUGAGCAUCGCCAUGGAUAAAGUGGUCCUCCUUGUUGGCAGAAUCAUAGUGGGUUUGGGCAUUGGCAUUGCCUCUAUGACUGUUCCUGUAUACAUCGCUGAAGUUUCCCCCCCUCACAUGAGAGGUCAGCUGGUUACGGUCAAUACCCUUUUCAUCACUGGUGGCCAGUUCAUUGCCAGUGUGGUUGAUGGGGCCUUUAGUUACAUGAGCCACGAUGGCUGGAGGUACAUGUUGGGCCUUUCCGUCCUGCCUGCUGUGCUGCAGUUCUUCGGCUUCAUCUUCCUACCGGAGAGCCCACGCUGGCUCCUCCAAAAGGGCCAGAGCCAAGAGGCCCGUCAGGUUCUCAGCCGGAUCAGAGAAAACCGGAACGUCGACGAGGAGUACGACACCAUCAAAGCCAGCAUCGAGGAAGAGGAGGUGGGCGGAGGAGGUGUUGUCAUGUUGCGCAUCCUCUGCCACGGUCCGACUCGCAGGGCUCUCAUUGUUGGUUGUGGGCUCCAGAUGUUUCAGCAGCUGUGUGGGAUCAACACAGUCAUGUACUACAGUGCAACCAUUCUACAGAUGGCAGGAGUGCGGGAUGAUAAAGAGGCUAUCUGGCUAGCAGCAGCGACUUCGGCUACAAACUUUGUCUUCACCCUGUUUGGGGUCUGGCUUGUGGAGAGAGUGGGUCGCAGGAAGCUGACACUGGGCAGCCUUUUAGGUACUGGUCUGAGUCUGACUUUGUUGGCAGUCGGGUUCCUGCUUUCUGCCCAACACUCUCCGCCCGUUACCCUCCACCCAGUUGAUUCUCAUAACUCAACCUGCAGACUGUAUAGGUCCUGUGAAUUGUGCAUGCUGGAUCCGGAUUGUGGAUUUUGUUAUCGUGAAAACAGCACAGGAGUGUACGAUUCUUCGUGUGUUCCUGUCAAUCAGGCGUCCACAGACCUUGCAGCCUGGGGAAGGUGUUCUAACGGGACUGAGUCAACUAACAGCCUAUUUUGGGCUUACAACUACUGUCCUACAUCCUACUCCUGGAUAGUCCUGAUGGGACUCCUCCUCUACCUUGCAUUUUUUGCUCCAGGUAUGGGCCCCAUGCCUUGGACGGUGAACUCGGAGAUCUACCCGCUCUGGGCACGCAGCACCGGGAAUGCCUGUUCAGCCGGCGUCAACUGGAUAUGCAACGUACUCGUGUCUCUGACGUUUCUUCAUGUUGCUGAAUUUCUGACCUACUAUGGUGCGUUCUUCAUGUACACGGGACUGGUGGUGUUGGGCCUCCUCUUUGUCUUCGGCUGCCUCCCAGAGACCCAGGGCUUACAGCUGGAGGACAUCGAGAACCUGUUCACUGGGCAGCUCUGCUCCUGUGGAAACUCUGUGCCUAACGACAAUCGUCACGUCCACUACAUCCGGGUAACAGGCAGCAACUAUCUGCACUCUGACAACGAGGCCUCAGACGUAGAGUAGACGGUGCAGAUUUUCUGUCUCCACUCUGUUCUUUUGUGUCCACUCUUUUCCUGCUUAAAGACUGGGAAGCUUCACAAGUGGGGAAUCGUAUUUCCGUUUAGGGGUUCUCAUCAAAAACCCAGCUCUCCAGGAACUGACUAUAACUUCUGUCUUCUCUGGCCCAGGUGACUCUUGUCUUUUAAAAUUUUUUUAAUGGCUGCCUUUAUUUUCCUUGACAUGUUUUCUGUCGUUUUCCAUUGUCUUUUUCUUUGUUGUAAAAGGGAAUAAUUGCCAGCAUUAUAGUUAUCAGAGUUUACUUGUGCCAGUCUUGCUGGGAUGGGUCUCAGAAAGACUGAGAGAGACAAUGUGCCCCUCUAUCAAGAAACGCUUUUGCUGCCAAAGGAAUCAUCUACUAACAAAAUCUUUUGACUGAAUGAACAACAGAAAGCUUAGCAAACAAAGAAUUGCUCAGAAGAAUGUGAACAAUUCUUUGCAUGACUAAAAUCUAAUCAUUCCUCUUUUGUACAAACUUGAGGCUGCAAACCUGAUACACCAGCAAGAAUGUGUUUUCUUUUAAUUUUAGUUUCAAUUCUGGUUUCAAUUCCAUGAAGAAUCCUGAACGAUGAGACGGACAUUGGGGACCGGUUAAUUGCUUCCUACCAGAUCAGACUUCUUGAAAACACAUUCUUGUUUAAAAUCACUAAAUUGGGUUUCAGCUUUUUAAAUCUGGACUGGAGUAAAACAAAUCGCCGUCAUUUAAACGUGUAAGAUUGCAGGAAUGAGUUUUCCAACACUUUCUUGUUUUUUUUAAGCAAUGUUCAGAAGUCAGCCCAGCACAUUAUGGAGCGGUGGAUUCAGACAGUGCCAUAGCCUAUAUAACUCUGAGAUAAUCGUGACCAGAAACCCCUGAACAGCUUAAUUCAAAAUGUCCUUUUUUUUUGCACUGGUUCACUUUGAUAUGUACCAGUUUGCUUUGAUGGUACUGCUAGCAGCUACUGACUGUACAGAACUUCCUACUGAACAUUUUUGUUAGAUUGUAUUGUUUUUAUGAGACCCAAAAAAACCUGAUCUAAUUAGGAGCUGCACAAAGCAUCCAUAUGGGAACACUUUUAUAUCUGCAUAAUUUGUGGAUGCAAAUUUUAUCUUGUUGCAUAAUGUUGUGUUGGUUACUAUAAGAAAUGUAAACGUUUCAUGAAAUUUGGUUUUGGAAAAUGUACAAAAAAAUAAAAAAAUACACUGUUCAAGUGGCAUAAUUUACCCUCAGGUUCACAUCCUAAUGUGCAUUUUUUUUUUUUACUUUUAACUAGAAAAAAAAAGGGGG